This 254-nucleotide ribosomal RNA is filed under the name uncultured bacterium. RNAcentral describes it as "partial 16S ribosomal RNA". It matches the Rfam family "Bacterial small subunit ribosomal RNA", at positions 524 to 776 of the family's 1533-position model. The record is from RNAcentral.
UACGAAGGGGGCUAGCGUUGUUCGGAAUUAUUGGGCGUAAAGGGAGUGUAGGCGGUUUCCUAAGUCUUCUGUGAAAUCGUACGGCUUAGCCUGUAACGUGCAGAGGAAACUGGGAGACUUGAGUGUCGGAGAGGAUAGGGGAAUACCCAGUGUAGAGGUGAAAUUCGUAGAUAUCGGGAAGGAACACCGGUGGCGAAGGCGGCGAUCUGGGUCGAUACUGACGCUGAGGUGCGAAAGCGUGGGGAGCAAACAGG